Molecule: ribosomal RNA, 334 nt
Filed under: fish environmental sample
Lineage: Eukaryota; Metazoa; Chordata
Description: bacterial SSU rRNA
Rfam family: Eukaryotic small subunit ribosomal RNA
Source: RNAcentral
AGCUCCAAUAGCGUAUAUUAAUGUUGUUGCAGUUAAAAAGCUCGUAGUUGAAUUUCGGCGUUUCGCCUGUCCAGGAAGACUCAGGAUACCCCAAGGGUUUCUUUUGUAUGAACGGACUUUUACUGUGAACAAAUUAAAGUGCUCAGAGCAGGCUUUUGCUUGAAUAGUUUAGCAUGGAAUAAUAAAAUACGACUUCGUUCAUUUUAUUGGUUAUUGAAUGAGGUAAUGAUUAACAGGAACAGUUGGGGGCAUUCGUAUUUGAUAGCUAGAGGUAAAAUUCUAUGAUUUAUCAAGGACGAACUAAUGCGAAAGCAUUUGCCAAGGAUGUUUUCAU